RNAcentral lists this ribosomal RNA (694 nucleotides) under uncultured bacterium. RNAcentral describes it as "bacterial SSU rRNA". It matches the Rfam family "Bacterial small subunit ribosomal RNA", at positions 32 to 715 of the family's 1533-position model. The record is from RNAcentral.
AACGCUAGCUACAGGCUUAACACAUGCAAGUCGAGGGGCAGCAUGAUUGAAGCUUGCUUCAAUUGAUGGCGACCGGCGCACGGGUGAGUAACACGUAUCCAACCUUCCGUACACUCAGGAAUAGCCUUUCGAAAGAAAGAUUAAUACCUGAUGGUAUGAUGAGAUUGCAUGAAAUCAUCAUUAAAGAUUCAUCGGUGUACGAUGGGGAUGCGUUCCAUUAGAUAGUAGGCGGGGUAACGGCCCACCUAGCCUACGAUGGAUAGGGGUUCUGAGAGGAAGGUCCCCCACAUUGGAACUGAGACACGGUCCAAACUCCUACGGGAGGCAGCAGUGAGGAAUAUUGGUCAGUGGACGAGAGUCUGAACCAGCCAAGUAGCGUGAAGGAUGAAGGUCCUACGGAUUGUAAACUUCUUUUAUAAGGGAAUAAAACCUCCCACGUGUGGGAGCUUGUAUGUACCUUAUGAAUAAGCAUCGGCUAACUCCGUGCCAGCAGCCGCGGUAAUACGGAGGAUGCGAGCGUUAUCCGGAUUUAUUGGGUUUAAAGGGAGCGCAGACGGGUCGUUAAGUCAGCUGUGAAAGUUUGGGGCUCAACCUUAAAAUUGCAGUUGAUACUGGCGUCCUUGAGUGCGGUUGAGGUGUGCGGAAUUCGUGGUGUAGCGGUGAAAUGCUUAGAUAUCACGAAGAACUCCGAUUG